GAUGAACGCUGGCGGCGUGCCUAAUACAUGCAAGUCGAGCGAACGGACGAGAAGCUUGCUUCUCUGAUGUUAGCGGCGGACGGGUGAGUAACACGUGGAUAACCUACCUAUAAGACUGGGAUAACUUCGGGAAACCGGAGCUAAUACCGGAUAAUAUUUUGAACCGCAUGGUUCAAAAGUGAAAGACGGUCUUGCUGUCACUUAUAGAUGGAUCCGCGCUGCAUUAGCUAGUUGGUAAGGUAACGGCUUACCAAGGCAACGAUGCAUAGCCGACCUGAGAGGGUGAUCGGCCACACUGGAACUGAGACACGGUCCAGACUCCUACGGGAGGCAGCAGUAGGGAAUCUUCCGCAAUGGGCGAAAGCCUGACGGAGCAACGCCGCGUGAGUGAUGAAGGUCUUCGGAUCGUAAAACUCUGUUAUUAGGGAAGAACAUAUGUGUAAGUAACUGUGCACAUCUUGACGGUACCUAAUCAGAAAGCCACGGCUAACUACGUGCCAGCAGCCGCGGUAAUACGUAGGUGGCAAGCGUUAUCCGGAAUUAUUGGGCGUAAAGCGCGCGUAGGCGGUUUUUUAAGUCUGAUGUGAAAGCCCACGGCUCAACCGUGGAGGGUCAUUGGAAACUGGAAAACUUGAGUGCAGAAGAGGAAAGUGGAAUUCCAUGUGUAGCGGUGAAAUGCGCAGAGAUAUGGAGGAACACCAGUGGCGAAGGCGACUUUCUGGUCUGUAACUGACGCUGAUGUGCGAAAGCGUGGGGAUCAAACAGGAUUAGAUACCCUGGUAGUCCACGCCGUAAACGAUGAGUGCUAAGUGUUAGGGGGUUUCCGCCCCUUAGUGCUGCAGCUAACGCAUUAAGCACUCCGCCUGGGGAGUACGACCGCAAGGUUGAAACUCAAAGGAAUUGACGGGGACCCGCACAAGCGGUGGAGCAUGUGGUUUAAUUCGAAGCAACGCGAAGAACCUUACCAAAUCUUGACAUCCUUUGACAACUCUAGAGAUAGAGCCUUCCCCUUCGGGGGACAAAGUGACAGGUGGUGCAUGGUUGUCGUCAGCUCGUGUCGUGAGAUGUUGGGUUAAGUCCCGCAACGAGCGCAACCCUUAAGCUUAGCUGCCAUCAUUAAGUUGGGCACUCUAAGUUGACUGCCGGUGACAAACCGGAGGAAGGUGGGGAUGACGUCAAAUCAUCAUGCCCCUUAUGAUUUGGGCUACACACGUGCUACAAUGGACAAUACAAAGGGCAGCGAAACCGCGAGGUCAAGCAAAUCCCAUAAAGUUGUUCUCAGUUCGGAUUGUAGUCUGCAACUCGACUACAUGAAGCUGGAAUCGCUAGCAAUCGUAGAUCAGCAUGCUACGGUGAAUACGUUCCCGGGUCU
RNAcentral lists this ribosomal RNA (1372 nucleotides) under uncultured bacterium. Its description in RNAcentral is "bacterial SSU rRNA". It matches the Rfam family "Bacterial small subunit ribosomal RNA", at positions 28 to 1381 of the family's 1533-position model. The record is from RNAcentral.